Molecule: ribosomal RNA, 253 nt
Filed under: uncultured bacterium
Lineage: Bacteria
Description: partial 16S ribosomal RNA
Rfam family: Bacterial small subunit ribosomal RNA
Source: RNAcentral
GGCAUAGGUGGCGAACGUUAUCCGGAAUUAUUGGGCGUAAAGGGUGUGUAGGCGGGCUAUUAAGUCAGUGGUGAAAUCUCCGGGCUCAACCUGGAAACUGCCAUUGAUACUAUUAGUCUUGAAUUCUGUUGAGGUAGGCGGAAUAAGUCAUGUAGCGGUGAAAUGCAUAGAUAUGACUUAGAACACCAAUUGCGAAGGCAGCUUACUAAGCAGAUAUUGACGCUGAGGUGCGAAAGCGUGGGGAGCAAACAGG